This is a long non-coding RNA of Hevea brasiliensis (rubber tree), 4751 nucleotides long. RefSeq lists it as uncharacterized. NCBI's taxonomy places the organism in Eukaryota, Viridiplantae, Streptophyta, Magnoliopsida, Malpighiales, Euphorbiaceae. The transcript is spliced from 2 exons. The record is from RefSeq and is a predicted model, not a curated record.
AAUAAUAAUAAUAAUAAUAAAAUAAAUAAAUAAUAAUAAUGAUAAUAAUAAUAACAAAUAAAUAAAAUUACUGCAGAAUCAGUUCUCGAGGUAGUAAGGAUAUCAUGUAAGCUAAAGGAUAAGAAUAGAGAUCAUACAAUGAAGGUAUGACUGUAAUUUCCUGAGUUCCUUUCUAACUUCAUAUUGUUUAAAACAAUAGUAUAAUCUAAUUAUAAUAGUGUUAAGAGAAAUAAAUUAGCAAAGAUAAAUUAUAGAAGGCCAAUGGAUAGAGAAAGUGCAGAAUGAAGGUUUGGACAAUUGAUUGCAGAUGCAAUAUAUUCUAAAUGCCAGUGGAAGUACUAGCUAGGGUGGUCAAAGGACCAAAUCUGAAUAGCACAGAUAUGUGAUAACAUGGUAGAGACUCUGAAAGAUAUUGUUAGCAAGUACAGCUGUCAUGUUAGGAAGAAGAAUGGAACCAGGGAUAGAAUAGUCAAGUUCUAUUUUGGGUAAGACAAAGGAAAUAAAUGAAAGGACAAUAUAAAGAGUGCAUAAUAAAAGGAACAAAGUUAAGAUAUAGGGUAGGCUAUGUGUUAUUAUUGAUAAGGUGAAUGAUAAGGAUGGAGAACCCAAAAUGGGACCAUAUUAGUGAGAACAGUGAUGGAGGUAUGGAAUACAAUAAUAAUGAGUAAAAGCUAGAAAGUGUACGAUGGUAUUGCGGACUAUUUAAGGAGGCGGAGAAAAAGAAGUUAGUAAGCAGUAAGUUGAAUAAAAGUUAAUCUAAGGGAUCAAAAAGGUAUGAUGAGAGGAAAAGAAUGAUAGAUAAUGACACAAAGGCUUUAAGUUAGACUUUUGAGAUAGUGACAAGGUAGUUAGAGGUUCAUUAUGAAUGUCAGGCAAACAUUUUUAGUGUGAUCAACAGAAUCACUUUGUAGUGAAGCAAUAACGACAUGACAACAGUAGGGGUAGAAUGAAAAGUGACGAGUCUAGGUAGUUAUAAAUCACUAGAAAGUUCAAGGAUCAAAUUAAUGAUCAUAGAUAAGGGUGGGAUUAGUGUUGGAAGAAUUUAUUAGUGAGAGAAUUCUUUCAGGAAUCAACAAAAGUUAAGGGCACAAUAUAAAUGAUGAUAGAUAUGAAUCAUAGGUCGAGUAUAAGUAAAGUUAAUAAAUUAUAAAAUAUUAUAUCAGGAAGGACAAUGGUACGGUAAAGGGUUCAUGUAGAUGAUGCAUUAUGGGUAGAGCACAAUUGUGCUGGGAGAUGAUGAAAUUUGAAGAGAAAGACUAAGAAACAUAGGUUAAAUGUUAUUAUAUGGACAAUCGGGCGUAGUUGAAUAUAAGAGGAUAUUUUUCUUUCUUUUCAAGUUUAGCUUGUGCUUUUGGUUCUAGAAUGUUACAUAAGGAACAGAGACUGAGUUAAGGAAACCUAGUUAUUUGAGAGUUUGGUAGGCACCAAUUCAUAUACAAUUUCGUGAUAUGAGAAUGACUGUAAGUGCAUACCUAGUGUUAAGUAUGAAAGGACGAUCAGAGUAAUAACAGGAGUCAAAUUGAGUUAGCUACUAAGGCUUGUGACUAUUAUAAAUUAUGAGCUGGAGAGAAUACUAAUUGUGAAUGAGUUACACCGAAUGAGAUUGUUGCUAAUAGGAAAAGAUGAGGCUGAAGUUUGGAAAGCUAUGGGCAGUAUAUGUGAUUAUAUUAAGGAGAAUGAACAUGUGAAGUAUCUUGUUUAGAAAUAAGGCAUGGCACACAUUUUCCAUAGCCGUGUUAGUUCAGAUGGAACUUAUAGUUUCUGGGGCUCAUAUCCAUCAAGGAUAAGCAAUUUCCUACUAAGGCUGGUAGGGAAUGAUAAUGUUCUGAUAGUUAAGUUGGAAAAAGGGGAUACAAAAAGAAAUUUCUAUGGUUAACUACAAGUGUUACAUAAGGUGAAGAAUGUGCUGGUAGGAGUAAAUCGUAAGGUUAGAAUUUCUGGAGUAAUAGAACUAGUAAUCAAGAUAAGACUCAGAAAUAAGAUGAAAGUUAAAGUUGAUGAUGGGAGGAACAUCCUUGAAGGAAAAAGGUGUAAGGGUGAAAUAGGAUUAAGAUUGAGGAAUAAGUACAGUAGGUUGAAAGGAUAUCAACAAUAGCAGAAAUAGGAAAAGGAAGUGGAUGAGAUCCAAAGGAUAGGAAGAAAACACAGUAUAGCUAGUUAUAAUGAGGAGGAUAAGGAGGAAUAGGUAUACUAGGAACACACUAAGAGAUGUUUAAAACAAGUUAUUAUGAGAUGAUAGAUUAAAGGAUUAGUAGAGCCCCGAUCUGAGUGCCAAUGUGUCAGAAGUAGGCCACGUACUAAGAAGCUUUAGGAAAAAGACUAGAUAUUCUCAUUCCAGAGGAGGAGUGAGAAUUGAUAAAGUCGCAUGGAUUGAGUUGUCAGGGAAUAUAAACACUUUUGUUACCUAGAAGGAGAGACCCAGUUCACUUUUCAAUAUUGAUAAAUGAUACACUUGGCCCUUGGAGGAGACUCCACCUGACUAGUUACAUAAGAUGGAUAGAGGUUAGUCUAAGUACCUUAGUAAUGACACAAAAGAGAUUAAAAAUUUUGAAGUAUCAUGGGAGUGAGAAGAUUUAUAGGUAUUGAACACUGAGGUCAUAAGAAGAGUGAAGAUCUCGAACAAGAUGCCUAGAUUAGGUGCUACAGGAAAGCUACUCAUAGGAUGCCUUAAGAUAAGGAACAUAAGUCAUGUUUUGGGGAAACAGAGAUUAUUGAAAAAAAGAGAUGAGGACUGAAGUCACUAAGAGACACGUUAGGGCGUAAUAAAAGUGAGGUAAGCGCCAAAGUUAAUUAAAGUUAUCAGAGAUUAAGUCGAGAGUAAUAGAGUUAUAAUGAAUACUUGAGAUGUUAGAAGAGUGAUCAGUGAAUAGCCAAGAGAUAAGAGCAUCUUUAGAAAGAGAUGAUGACAAAUAGGAUACUAUAGUAGAAUCAGAGAGCGGUAGAAUAUCAUAUAUAAUAUACGAAGAGUUUGAAGAAUAAAUGUCUUACCAAUCUCUGCAUAGCUGAAGGAGUAAUGAUUGCACUUGUUCUAAUAAUCUUCUUUUCCUUAUUUCUUUAUUUAUUCGAAAAUUCGAGGACGAAUUUUUUUUAAGGGGGGAAGAAUGUAACAACCACAAAAAAAAAAAAAAUUGAAUUGACCUUGGCAUGUGACAGUGGAUUUCCACUGUCACACUGCCAACUUAAAAAAAAAAAAAAUGGUUCAAAAACGGGAGGAGGAACUCCCCCCCCCCCCCUUUCUCUUUUCCCUCCUCUCCUUCCCUCUCUUCUUCCUCUUCCUUUCUCCGGCGACCGGCCGGCGACGUCCCAAGCAGUUCCCCACCCGGCCGGCGACCGUUCAGCGACGGCCAGACCACCAGAAACGGCGGCAAGAGAGGGAGAAGAGAGAGAAAACGCGCGCACAGUGGGCAGCGGCUUUCCGGCGCGAUUCCGGCUUCGUCCGACGUCCGAUCGAGGCGAUUCUGGUGGCGUUGGAAAGCUUGUUCCGAGAGCUUUCUUUUGAUACCAAUUUUGAAGCAAAUGGAGGUCGGAUGAGUGAGAUAUGGAGGAGAGAAGUUUCGGGUUUUUCAAGCUUUUUCGUCAGAUCUACGACGAUCCGACCGUUGGAUCGACGAUCCGAGACCACCUAUGGACUAAGGAAGAGGAGAGGAACAUGGUGGUAUGAUCAGAUCCGGCAAAUGUCGCCGGCGACCGGCGACCGGCCACCGUGCGCGGUGGUUCCGGUGGGCUAUGGAGAUGAUUCAACUUCCAGAGGCUUCCUCGUAAAUUUUUGGAAUUUUUGAGACACAGACAAACUUCGGGUGAUCGAAGGCAGCUAUUUUUCUGCAUCCAGCAGCCACAAUAGUCAUCGGUGUACUGUGAGUAAAAUAUUAAUUUUAAUUGUAAUUUCGAUAUUAUUAUAUGUUCAAGCAUGUCCAUGCAUCACUUAUAUGCAUAUAUUUAUGUAGUUAAACUCUAGGCACGAUUUAUGUUGCAUUCAUAACUGUUAAAGUGCCAUGGAUGUUGUUGUGGUAAUUUGGAGCAGUGUGCGUGCGUUGGCGUGCGUGUGAUGUGGUGUGGACUAUGGAUAGGACAGGUAGUCACGGCUUGAGUUCUUCGCUGGGACCCGAUCCUUCGGGGGGUAGUCAUGGCUUGAGUUCUUCGCUGGGACCCCCGAUUUGGUUUAUAAAGCGAAAGUCCGGCUUGAGUUCUUCGCUGGUACCAGGUUGGAUUUAAGAGAGCUGUAUAGGGGAUCAGCUCCCAUAUAUUAUGAUUGAUAUUACAGGGUGCGUGAGUGCUCCAAAUUACCUUUUUGAUGUUAUGAUGUGAAAAUGUUGUUGAUGUUGCAUUUCACUCUACAGGGUGCAUUAGUUUUAGAUAGUUAUAGAGAUUAUGGUUAAAAUUGAUAUUUUACUCUCUGAGUCGAACGCUCACUCCUGUUCAAUAUUUUUCCAGGCCACAGGAGGAGUUAUUUUACAGAGCAACCUGUUUUCUUCCUCGCAGGUUUAACGUCGAUUAUUUAAUUGUAUUAUUAUUAUCUAAAUUUGUAAUUUAGGACUCCGCAUGUGCUAGUAGUAGCAUUAAGCCUGUCAGGGACUGUAUGAAUUCAAGUUUUUGUAUUAAUAAAUGAAAGGAACAAUUUUAUGAGUUUUAAAUGGUUAUAAAUGAGGUAACAGGGUUGAGCUGGGCUCCCCUAAUUUUUGUUUCAGAUAAUUUCUGGGUUAAGUUGGCCCGAAUAUAAUUUUAACAGUGUAAUUUAAAUUAUUUUAUGUGCA